AGGGAAUCUUCCGCAAUGGACGAAAGUCUGACGGAGCAACGCCGCGUGAGUGAUGAAGGUUUUCGGAUCGUAAAGCUCUGUUGCCAGGGAAGAACGUCGGGUAGAGUAACUGCUACUCGAGUGACGGUACCUGAGAAGAAAGCCCCGGCUAACUACGUGCCAGCAGCCGCGGUAAUACGUAGGGGGCAAGCGUUGUCCGGAAUUAUUGGGCGUAAAGCGCGCGCAGGCGGCUGUUUAAGUCUGGUGUAUAAUCCUGGGGCUCAACUCCGGGUCGCACUGGAAACUGGACGGCUUGAGUGCAGAAGAGGAGAGUGGAAUUCCACGUGUAGCGGUGAAAUGCGUAGAGAUUUGGAGGAACACCAGUGGCGAAGGCGACUCUCUGGGCUGUAACUGACGCUGAGGCGCGAAAGCGUGGGGAGCAAAC
Molecule: ribosomal RNA, 424 nt
Filed under: uncultured bacterium
Lineage: Bacteria
Description: bacterial SSU rRNA
Rfam family: Bacterial small subunit ribosomal RNA
Source: RNAcentral